UACGUAGGGUGCAAGCGUUAAUCGGAAUUACUGGGCGUAAAGCGUGCGCAGGCGGCUUUGCAAGACAGAUGUGAAAUCCCCGGGCUCAACCUGGGAACUGCAUUUGUGACUGCAUGGCUGGAGUGCGGCAGAGGGGGAUGGAAUUCCGCGUGUAGCAGUGAAAUGCGUAGAUAUGCGGAGGAACACCGAUGGCGAAGGCAAUCCCCUGGGCCUGCACUGACGCUCAUG
Molecule: ribosomal RNA, 228 nt
Filed under: uncultured bacterium
Lineage: Bacteria
Description: partial 16S ribosomal RNA
Rfam family: Bacterial small subunit ribosomal RNA
Source: RNAcentral